This is a small nucleolar RNA of Cricetulus griseus (Chinese hamster), 72 nucleotides long. Its record names the gene SNORD18. It matches the Rfam family "Small nucleolar RNA SNORD18". Rfam says of the family: U18 is a member of the C/D class of snoRNA which contain the C (UGAUGA) and D (CUGA) box motifs. It is encoded in introns of ribosomal protein L1 in Xenopus and human, and in introns of elongation factor 1 beta in yeast. Related snoRNAs in Arabidopsis and rice have been named R63 and Z106 respectively. Lineage: Eukaryota; Metazoa; Chordata; Mammalia; Rodentia; Cricetidae. The record is from Ensembl.
CGGUAAUGAUGUAAUUCCACUUCAUGGUCCGUGUUUCUGAAAUAAACAUGAUUUUGUGGAAGUUCUGAUUCC